Long non-coding RNA from Cyprinus carpio carpio, 810 nucleotides. NCBI's taxonomy places the organism in Eukaryota, Metazoa, Chordata, Actinopteri, Cypriniformes, Cyprinidae. The record is from Ensembl.
CCCCCUCAAAAGAUGAGCAGAAAGUACCGUCAGACAAUGCUUGUCUAUUAUCUGAAAAACAGGAAAUAAUCAUCUUGAAAAAAAAGAACCAAGCAGCAUAAAUAUAUAAUUUGCACAUUGCAAUUGCAUAUAAUUAUUUGCACAUAAAAUGUGCUAUACUUUUAAUUGACUAAUUAAAAUUAACUAUAUUAACUAUAUUAACACAUUUUUCUAUAUUAUUAUUAUUUUUUUAUUAUUAUUAUUAUUUUUUUUUUUUUUUUUGCGUUAUUUAUAUGUGGAAAACUGUUUAACAAAGUUAAACUCUAUACUAUUUAUACUACUAAUUUAAAACAUGAUGACACCACUGCUUUGUGCAUAGCGGACCAAGAUCAUAAUUUCAUUAAUCAUGUAAAAAAUAUUUUCAUGUAUUUGAACUCUUAAGGCCCAUUCACACCAAGAACGAUAACUAUAAACAUAACUAUAAAGAUAAAUAUAUUAUCAUCCACACCAGCAGACGAUAUUGUCUGUUUAUUCCAAGCUUGUCUGCUGCUGCCGGGGGCAGCUGUGGCCUAACGGUGAGAGAUUUGGACUUGUAAUCAGAAGGUCGCAGGUUCGAGUCUCGGUGCUGGCAGGAGUUGUAGGUGGGAGGGAGUGAAUGAACAGCGCUCUCUUCCACCCUCAAUACCCAUGGCUGAAGUGCCCUUGAGCAAGGCACUGAACCCCCAGUUGCUCCCCGGGCGCUGGAUCUAUAGCUGCCCACUGCUCCGGGUGUGUGUUCACGGUGUGUGUGUGUUCACUGCUCUGUGUGUGUGCACUUCGGAUGGGUUAAAU